GUUGCAUUUUGUCUCAGUAUAAUACUUACUGCCAGUUCAUUCAACCCACCCCCUUUGGAAAAGACAAUCAAAGGGAUAGAAGCAUUGAUUAUAAUUUUCCAUGUCUUGGAGCUGGUUGUCAGUGGAUUGACAUGGCGUUUUGAAAGCAAGGCUUUGUUCCGUGACUCUUUCAAUGUCCUGCCUGUGAUUUACCUGGAACAGGACGCUUGAAUGUACUGCAGGACCCAAAGCAACUGAAGCAACAGUGUGUGUGUGUGUGUGUGUGU
This is a long non-coding RNA of Acipenser ruthenus (sterlet), 266 nucleotides long. RefSeq lists it as uncharacterized. Lineage: Eukaryota; Metazoa; Chordata; Actinopteri; Acipenseriformes; Acipenseridae. The record is from RefSeq and is a predicted model, not a curated record. The transcript is spliced from 3 exons.